AUAUUUCACAAAGGGCGAAAGCCUCAUGCACCAACGCCUCGCGAGAGAGGAAGGUUUUCGGAUCGUAAAACUCUUCUGUAAGGGAAGAACAAGUACAGUAGUAACUGGCUGUACCUUGACGGUACCUUAUUAGAAAGCGACGGCUAACUACGUGCCAGCAGCCGCGGUAAUGCGUAGGGGGCAAGCGUUGUCCGGAAUUAUUGGGCGUAAAGCGCGCGCAGGCGGGACGUUAAGUCUGAUGUGAAAGCCCACGGCUCAACCGGGGAGGGGCAUUGGAAACUGGGGGACUUGAGUGCAGAAGAGGAAAGUGGAAUUCCAAGUGUAGCGGUGGAACGCGUAGAGAUUUGGAGGAACACCAGUGGCGAAGGCGACUUUCUGGUCUGUAACUGACGCUGAGGCGCGAAAGCGUGGGGAGCAAACAGG
This 423-nucleotide ribosomal RNA is filed under the name uncultured bacterium. RNAcentral's name for it is "partial 16S ribosomal RNA". It matches the Rfam family "Bacterial small subunit ribosomal RNA", at positions 361 to 776 of the family's 1533-position model. The record is from RNAcentral.